This 834-nucleotide ribosomal RNA is filed under the name uncultured Alphaproteobacteria bacterium. Its description in RNAcentral is "bacterial SSU rRNA". It matches the Rfam family "Bacterial small subunit ribosomal RNA", at positions 38 to 919 of the family's 1533-position model. Lineage: Bacteria; Pseudomonadati; Pseudomonadota; Alphaproteobacteria. The record is from RNAcentral.
UGCAGUGCGCAGCUAUACAUGCAGUCGAGCGGUCCCUUCGGGGGCAGCGGCGGACGGGUGAGUAACGCGUGGGAACGUGCCCUUUGGUACGGAACAACUGAGGGAAACUUCAGCUAAUACCGUAUGUGCCCUUCGGGGGAAAGAUUUAUCGCCAUUGGAGCGGCCCGCGUUGGAUUAGGUAGUUGGUGAGGUAAAGGCUCACCAAGCCGACGAUCCAUAGCUGGUCUGAGAGGAUGAUCAGCCACACUGGGACUGAGACACGGCCCAGACUCCUACGGGAGGCAGCAGUAGGGAAUCUUGCGCAAUGGGCGAAAGCCUGACGCAGCCAUGCCGCGUGAAUGACGAAGGUCUUAGGAUUGUAAAAUUCUUUCACCGGGGACGAUAAUGACGGUACCCGGAGAAGAAGCCCCGGCUAACUUCGUGCCAGCAGCUGCGGUAAUACGAAGGGGGCUAGCGUUGCUCGGAAUUACUGGGCGUAAAGGGAGCGUAGGCGGAUAGUUUAGUCAGAGGUGAAAGCCCAGGGCUCAACCUUGGAAUUGCCUCUGAUACUGGCUAUCUUGAGUAUGGAAGAGGUAUGUGGAACUCCGAGUGUAGAGGUGGAAUUCGUAGAUAUUCGGAAGAACACCAGUGGCGAAAGCGACAUACUGGUCCAUUACUGACGCUGAGGCUCGAACGCGUGCGGAGCAAACACGAUUAGAUACCCUGGUAGUCCACGCCGUAGACGAUGAGUGCUAGUUGUCGGCAUGCAUGCAUGUCGGUGACGCACCUAACGCAUUAAGCACUCCGCAUGGGGAGUACGGUCGCAAGAUUAAAACUCAUAGGAAUUGACGGGGG